Panicum virgatum (switchgrass) is the source of this 2226-nucleotide RNA transcript. It is a transcript of the gene named hippocampus abundant transcript 1 protein-like, with no coding region annotated. NCBI's taxonomy places the organism in Eukaryota, Viridiplantae, Streptophyta, Magnoliopsida, Poales, Poaceae. The transcript is spliced from 14 exons. The record is from RefSeq and is a predicted model, not a curated record.
AGCAUCUCGACCCAUCGGCCUCCGUCCCUAACAUUUGAGGGUUGAGACGUUGCUAGCUAGCUAGCUACUCAUGACCAGUAGUUACCGUGGCCACACUGCUGCCUUGCGUCACCAAGCACAUAUAAGGUGGGAGAAAGAAAGAGAGGGAGCAGGGUCCAGUGGCGUCGAGCGAGCUGCUAGCGUAUAGUAGGCAGAAAAGGAGCGAGGGGCGUCGCUAGCUAGGAGGAAGGAGGAGGAGGAGGAGGAGGAGAGGAAUGGAGGAGGUGGCGGAGCUGGGGCACCUGCUGGUGUUCGCCUUCCUCUUCUGCUUCGCCGCCUACAUGGUCGGGCCGGUGAUCACCGACGUCACCAUGGGGGCGCUCUGCCCCGGCCGCGACGAGUGCUCCCUCGCCAUCUACCUCACCGGGCUCCAGCAAGCUGUUACGGGCCUGGGCGCGCUGGUGCUGACGCCGGUCGUCGGCAACCUGUCGGACAGGUACGGCCGGAAGGCGCUGCUGGCGCUCCCGGCGACGGCGUCCAUCGUCCCCCUGGGCAUCCUGGCGUACGGCCGGACCAGGGGCUACUUCUACGCGUACUACAUCACCGAGACCCUGACGGCGACGGUCUGCGAGGGCAGCAUGAUGUGCCUCUCCCUUGCUUACGUGGCUGACAGGGUACCGGAGGCGCGGCGCGCGGCGGCGUUCGGCGUGUUCACCGGCGUCUGCAGCGCCGGCUUCGUUGCCAGCACCAUAGCAGCCCGCUUCCUCCCCGUCUCGUCAACGUGCCAGGUCGCCGCAGUGGCAGCGGUGGCGACGGCCGUGUACAUGAAGGCCUUCCUCCAGGAGACGGACGGCGGAGCCUCCUCGUGCAGCUGCGACGAGGAGGCCUCCCGGCCGCUCUGCAUUCCCUCCUCCAGCAGUGAGGAGCUGUCGCCGAAGCUCCCGCCUCUUCGCAAAGCACCAUCGCUGUCGGAGAUAGCCGCCCUUCUUACCAGCAGCUCAACCUUCUCGAGAGCCGCAGUCGUCACAUUUUUCCAUGGCCUUGGCGACGCAGGCCAGCUAAACACACUAUUGUAUUUUCUGAAGGCGAAAUUCCAUUAUAGCAAGAACCAGUAUGCCAAUUUGCUACUUAUUAUUGGCAUUACAGGAAGCUUCUCACAGCUAACUGUGAUGCCACUUCUAGUGCCAAAGCUAGGUGAACAGAAGCUACUUAUCAUAGCACUUACAGCGAGCUGUGGGCACGCAUUCCUAUACAGCAUCGCAUGGUCGUUCUGGGUCCCUUAUCUUGCUGCAAGUUGUGUAAUAUUAAGCAUGCUGGUCACCCCAUGUAUAAGGAGCAUCAUAUCAAAGAAAGUGGGACCUUUUGAGCAGGGAAUGGUCCAAGGGUGUAUCACUGGAAUAAGCUCAACUGCAAAUGUGAUAUCUCCUCUAAUUUUUACUCCACUCACAGCGGGGGAGACCCCCACUGUGGUAUUAUAUAUUAUAUACGAAAGAGAAGAAACUGUAAGAAGCAAAGCUCCCAGGGACACCAAGUGCCCAAAAGGGAGAGAAAACUCAAAAGAACAACUAAAGAAAAGAACUAAAUUUGCACAAGGUUGAUCCAGUUAAGGAACUCCUGUCUAUUGCUAUCCUUGAUCCUAUGAGCUUGGAGCCUUGCUUCAUCGACAAAGUCUGCUGUCCAAUUUCUCAUUGACGGCCUUCUCCCUUCAAAAAUAGCACUGUUUCUUUGUUUCCUACUCGUGAGCUUGGCCAAGUAUUUCUAGACAUAAUUUGUCUCCCUUUGGCCUGACAGCCUGGUGUCUAUCAGAAGCUACGCCUUUCUACUUAAAAGGUUUCAGCCUUGCCUGUGCCGGAUUUGCAACGCUGGUAGCGCUUGCAACAAGCAUAAGUAUGAGGCCAGCUGAAGUACAGCGGCCAGAUAGGAAAUAGAUGAGCCAAAGACCGCUCUGGAAGAAAAAAAUCGUGGAUAUAUGCAUGUACUGUACAUAGUUUCUACAUGUGUACCAUUAAUCUUCUAUCAUCUACUAACCACUGUCAAUAGCCAUUGUGAAGUUUUAUGUAGUUAGCAUUACAUAUAAUUUGCACGCUACUCCACUGUUAGUUGAUUAACAUGGACAGCGGGUACUGAUGUAAAACGUCAGAAAAACUUCAGAUGUUUGAGUACAUACAUACUUGUAACAGACUUUCCUAAAUUGUUGCCUCAUUGAGAAUGUAAGGCUCAAUGCUUGACUCCUGAGUAAUGCUGUUA